GGGGCAACCUUCCAUCCAGUGGCGAACGGGUGAGUAAUGCAUCGGAACGUGUCCCGUAGUGGGGGAUAACGCCGCGAAAGCGGCGCUAAUACCGCAUAUGCUCUACGGAGGAAAGUGGGGGACCUGAAAGGGCCUCACGCUAUGGGAGCGGCCGAUGUCCGAUUAGCUUGUUGGUGGGGUAAUGGCCUACCAAGGCGACGAUCGGUAACUGGUCUGAGAGGAUGAUCAGCCACACUGGGACUGAGACACGGCCCAGACUCCUACGGGAGGCAGCAGUGGGGAAUUUUGGACAAUGGGGGCAACCCUGAUCCAGCCAUGCCGCGUGCGGGAAGAAGGCCUUCGGGUUGUAAACCGCUUUUAGUCGGGAAGAAAAGGCACGCUCUAAUACGGCGUGUUCUUGACGGUACCGGCGGAAUAAGCACCGGCUAACUACGUGCCAGCAGCCGCGGUAAUACGUAGGGUGCGAGCGUUAAUCGGAAUUACUGGGCGUAAAGCGUGCGCAGGCGGUUCGUUGUGUCUGUCGUGAAAGCCCCGGGCUCAACCUGGGAAUGGCGAUGGAAACUGGCGAGCUGGAGUGUGGCAGAGGGGGGUGGAAUUCCGCGUGUA
RNAcentral lists this ribosomal RNA (606 nucleotides) under uncultured soil bacterium. Its description in RNAcentral is "bacterial SSU rRNA". It matches the Rfam family "Bacterial small subunit ribosomal RNA", at positions 76 to 677 of the family's 1533-position model. The record is from RNAcentral.